RNAcentral lists this unclassified non-coding RNA (448 nucleotides) under Hevea brasiliensis (rubber tree). The record is from RNAcentral. Lineage: Eukaryota; Viridiplantae; Streptophyta; Magnoliopsida; Malpighiales; Euphorbiaceae.
AAAUAUUAACAAAAAUUAACUAAACACCAAAAAUGAUAAUAUAAACAUAAAUAAAAACUAUAUUAAAGAACUAUGUAUCACCUAGGCCAACCGAGUAAAGGAUUUGAGGCUAAGGAUCUGGCAACCAGAGAGAGUGAACCGUCUCUCUUGCCAUCGGCAGAGGGAUCUAGAAAUGCUGCUAUAGAAAAGUUGUCCAACACUCAGAUGAGCACAAAUAAGAAGAACUCCUCGAUCACAAGGAAACAUGCAAGCUAAAAUAGCACUUCCGAAUACCAAAUGAACCCCAACACACUAAGACAACUUUACAACACAUACGGGCAAGGAGACUUCUGCAAGGAUCAAAGAGCAAGGACCAUGGAAAACUGGUGAAUCGGGAAAGGUUAGGCAGUGCUCAAAUGUCUUACUCUUGUAAAGCCUAAAGGGAUCAAAACCCAACACCACACGAUCG